UGGGCGAAAGCCUGACGGAGCAAUCUCGCGUGAGGGAUGACGGCCUAUGGGUUGUAAACCUCUUUUUUCAGGGAGGAAUAAAUGACGUGUACCUGAAGAAUAAGCAUCGGCUAACUCCGUGCCAGCAGCCGCGGUAAGACGGAGGAUGCAAGUGUUAUCCGGAAUCACUGGGCGUAAAGCGUCUGUAGGUGGUUUAAUAAGUCAACUGUUAAAUCUUGAAGCUCAACUUCAAAAUCGCAGUCGAAACUAUUAGACUAGAGUAUAGUAGGGGUAAAGGGAAUUUCCAGUGGAGCGGUGAAAUGCGUAGAGAUUGGAAAGAACACCGAUGGCGAAGGCACUUUACUGGGCUAUUACUGACACUCAGAGACGAAAGCUAGGGUAGCAAAUGGGAUUAGAUACCCCAGUAGUCCUAGCCGUAAACAAUGGAUACUAGAUGUUGAACAGAUCGACCUGUGCAGUAUUAAAGCUAACGCGUUAAGUAUCCCGCCUGGGAAGUAUGC
RNAcentral lists this ribosomal RNA (500 nucleotides) under uncultured cyanobacterium. Its description in RNAcentral is "bacterial SSU rRNA". It matches the Rfam family "Bacterial small subunit ribosomal RNA", at positions 372 to 885 of the family's 1533-position model. Lineage: Bacteria; Bacillati; Cyanobacteriota. The record is from RNAcentral.